RNAcentral lists this ribosomal RNA (427 nucleotides) under uncultured bacterium. Its description in RNAcentral is "partial 16S ribosomal RNA". It matches the Rfam family "Bacterial small subunit ribosomal RNA", at positions 355 to 774 of the family's 1533-position model. The record is from RNAcentral.
UGGGGAAUAUUGCACAAUGGGCGCAAGCCUGAUGCAGCCAUGCCGCGUGUAUGAAGAAGGCCUUCGGGUUGUAAAGUACUUUCAGCGGGGAGGAAGGCGAUAAGGUUAAUAACCUUGUCGAUUGACGUUACCCGCAGAAGAAGCACCGGCUAACUCCGUGCCAGCAGCCGCGGUAAUACGGAGGGUGCAAGAGUUAAUCGGAAUUACUGGGCGUAAAGCGCACGCAGGCGGUCUGUCAAGUCGGAUGUGAAAUCCCCGGGCUCAACCUGGGAACUGCAUUCGAAACUGGCAGGCUAGAGUCUUGUAGAGGGGGGUAGAAUUCCAGGUGUAGCGGUGAAAUGCGUAGAGAUCUGGAGGAAUACCGGUGGCGAAGGCGGCCCCCUGGACAAAGACUGACGCUCAGGUGCGAAAGCGUGGGGAGCAAACA